CAGCAGCCGCGGUAAUACGUAGGGUGCGAGCGUUAAUCGGAAUUACUGGGCGUAAAGCGUGCGCAGGCGGUUUUGUAAGACAGGCGUGAAAUCCCCGGGCUCAACCUGGGAAUGGCGCUUGUGACUGCAAAGCUAGAGUGCGGCAGAGGGGGAUGGAAUUCCGCGUGUAGCAGUGAAAUGCGUAGAUAUGCGGAGGAACACCGAUGGCGAAGGCAAUCCCCUGGGCCUGCACUGACGCUCAUGCACGAAAGCGUGGGGAGCGAACAGGAUUAGAUACCCCCGUAGUCCCUGUCUCUUAUAC
This 301-nucleotide ribosomal RNA is filed under the name uncultured bacterium. Its description in RNAcentral is "partial 16S ribosomal RNA". It matches the Rfam family "Bacterial small subunit ribosomal RNA", at positions 509 to 807 of the family's 1533-position model. The record is from RNAcentral.